AGUCGUAACAAGGUUUCCGUAGGUGAACCUGCGGAAGGAUCAUUACCGAGUGAGGGCCCUCUGGGUCCAACCUCCCACCCGUGUCUAUCGUACCUUGUUGCUUCGGCGGGCCCGCCGUUUCGACGGCCGCCGGGGAGGCCUUGCGCCCCCGGGCCCGCGCCCGCCGAAGACCCCAACAUGAACGCUGUUCUGAAAGUAUGCAGUCUGAGUUGAUUAUCGUAAUCAGUUAAAACUUUCAACAACGGAUCUCUUGGUUCCGGCAUCGAUGAAGAACGCAGCGAAAUGCGAUAAGUAAUGUGAAUUGCAGAAUUCAGUGAAUCAUCGAGUCUUUGAACGCACAUUGCGCCCCCUGGUAUUCCGGGGGGCAUGCCUGUCCGAGCGUCAUUGCUGCCCUCAAGCACGGCUUGUGUGUUGGGCCCCCGUCCCCCUCUCCCGGGGGACGGGCCCGAAAGGCAGCGGCGGCACCGCGUCCGGUCCUCGAGCGUAUGGGGCUUUGUCACCUGCUCUGUAGGCCCGGCCGGCGCCAGCCGACACCCAACUUUAUUUUUCUAAGGUUGACCUCGGAUCAGGUAGGGAUACCCGCUGAACUUAAGCAUAUCAAUAAGCGGAGGAA
Molecule: unclassified non-coding RNA, 613 nt
Filed under: Aspergillus fumigatus
Lineage: Eukaryota; Fungi; Ascomycota; Eurotiomycetes; Eurotiales; Aspergillaceae
Description: sequence contains 18S rRNA gene, ITS1, 5.8S rRNA gene, ITS2, 28S rRNA gene
Rfam family: 5.8S ribosomal RNA (bases 231-384)
Source: RNAcentral